Molecule: long non-coding RNA, 3050 nt
Organism: Polyodon spathula (Mississippi paddlefish)
Lineage: Eukaryota; Metazoa; Chordata; Actinopteri; Acipenseriformes; Polyodontidae
Exons: 3
Source: RefSeq, a predicted model, not a curated record
GAGAAUAACGGCAUUUUCCUUUUAACAAGGCUAAAUAAAUCGUGUACUAAAUAGUUAGGAAAUCAAAAUUCAACGCAGGAAAUGAUGAUCCAUCCGUCAUAUUUAUUAUACACCAGCUACAGGAUUGGUUGAAAAAGUGACCCGAAGCUUGAAGUAUGGAGGAGGCUUGUGAACCAGCCUGACUGACUGUGCUGUGUAAUGCACUGCCGUUAUGGAUUAUAUCGGCGAGAUGAAUGUAAAACAAACAAAAAAAAACUAUAUAACCACUCGUGCAGACAAGCCUGGCUCUUUCGUACAGUGGUCAAGGUGCUUGCUUGCAGUGUUUGUGAAGGCUGGUUUGUGUCCAACCUCCCGCCCUGUUACUCCAGCAAAGAAACAAGCGGACAAUGAACAAGAAAAUAAUCAGCAGCUUCCACAAAAACACCAACAGCAUUGCACAACAUUGCCCUCGGGAAGUGCAUCACCUGGUCGUGAACUGGUAUUAGAACCGUGUCUUUUUGUGCACUAAGCAAUGCUAGAAAAAAAAGACAGAAUAGUAAUACAUUUUGUUACUGAAUUUCUUAGAGGUGCUGUCAAAUCCAUCAGUAGAAUAUCGUUUUUUUCAGAUGACUUUAAUUCUAACCAAAGAUACUGUACUUCCCCUUAGUAUUCAGUAAAAUAAAGGAAUUUGACCUUUUUUCUUCCUUCUCACCAGACUGUAAAAAUUGAUCCCAAAAGUCCCAAAGUAUAAUGUUGCAACUCAAUUGGGCUAUCCAAUUUUCAGAGUAAUUGGGGACACUUCACAGUAAACACAUCUUUCCAGGAAUUGAAUGACACUACAACUAUGGUAAUGGAUUUCAAAUUAAUUAGUGUGCUAUUCCCCAUGCAUGCACUAGGACUAAUCAGAGAUACACUGAAAUGUCAUCUGUACUUCAUGCUUAUUCCUACAGUUACUAAUUACAGUAAAGACUUUUGUACUGUUAAAAUUGUGAUGUUCUCCCUUCUAUAUUUUUUCAUGUUUCUGCUUAUAUUUAAACAGUCUAAACAGAAACCAUGUAUGAGAGAGAACGUGAACUCCAGUGGAAAACCUUUCCUCACUAUGUUUAACAGGUAUACAUUAAUAAUGAAAAGUUACCAUACCAGUGAAAAGCUAUGGCUGUCCAUCCCUAAUCUGUAAUUUCAGUACAUUAACUACUCCCCAUAGCAGAACUAUAACUAAAAUGUAAAAUGGCUCUUAAAACCUUACUUGUGAAAUAUUUUUAAUAUACACUCAGAGUGAUUAAGUGAAAACAGUUUAAAUCUAGUUCUUAAUGACUUCAAGAGCUUUUUUUUUUAUUAUCAUUAAUUACACACAUUAGACUGAAGCAGUAUUUGCUUACAUAGACAAACAGUAUUUGCAUAUGGUGAAAAAAUACAUUUAUUGGAAUCAGUGAAGUUGUAGAAAAGUGGAAAACUGACUUUGGGAUUUGUUACAGUACCACUGCUUCAUCCUUAUGCCAGAUUUCUGACUAGCUCUACAGCACAGUGGUGCAAAGUCUGAUGACAAAAUGGCUUAGAAUACAAAACACUGAAAUUCACACCUAAAACAAUCUUAUUUUGCUUUUAAGAUAGUUUCAAAAUGUACAAUAUGCAUAAAAACCCCCCAGAUAUUCUUCCAUUGGCAUCAGUAAGCAGGCUUUAUAUAUUUGUAACCAUGGGAAAAACAGAGAAGAAUGUAUACAAUAUGUAAUGGGACAUUUUACAAUGUAUGUCAAGAUUUAACAAAUCUACAAGGAAAAAAAAAAAGUGUUUUACUCAGAUACUGAGCAUACCCCUUUGGGUUUAGUUCUAUUAUAUGACAUUUGUGUUUUACAUUUUUUUUUUUAAAUUAAAUAAUAUCUCAUGUUUAUACAAAAAUCUAUUUAUUAAAACUGAUUAUAUCUACAUGAUAUAGGAACAUGUUCAUUAUCAUGCUAAAUCAAAUUAAUGGGACAACUAAAACUUACCUCCCCUAGCAUGGUUCCUUUCCUCAUUCACUCAUAAAUAAUUACCUUUUCCUGACCAUGCAAAUAUGACAGCUGAAUCUCUUCUAAUCUCUAGCGUUUAUUCACUAACACAGCAGAAACAAUUAACAUCCACCCAGAAAGUGUAAACAACUGUGAUAAUUCAUUUGAAAAAUUGUCUUUUCAGAUUCAACGGAAUGGCUUAAAAAAAAAAAAUUAAAUACUGACAUGGCUGAAGCCAAACAAAAUACUGAAAGCAUGUUAUUCCUUUAAAAAUAGCACAGGUAUUCUCCAAGCAUAGACUGACUCAACUCACAUGGAACUCAUUUACUGGAAGCUACUGCUAGAAACACAACAAGCACUGCUUGCGCUAUAUAAGAAAAUGAACAACUGUUAUCGUUGACCUCUAAUAGAGCUUUUACAUUGAUUUUACACACAUGUAGUACCACCUUAGAUAGUGCAGUUAGUUAUUUUUUCACAAUGCUGCCGUUUUUCACAUGUAACACUAGAACACAGCAGAUGGUAUACCCUGACUCGUGCAAUGCAAGAUACAACCAUUAAAGCAUCACAGAUUUAACAGCGACAAUGCAAUGUUAUUUAAUACUUGUUUUCAACAGGAUAUUGAGACGUUACACAGACUGAACACCUAAUGUAAUCUUUUACAUGCUAAGCAGCAUAAAGAGGCAGGGUUUCUUUCUGUACAUAUAACUGACCGCUAUGAAAAACCACUAAAAGCCUAUGAAUCACUAGUAUUACUAAGCUCUUUUAUUUCUCUUUUUAUUUUCUGGAUCAUGUUUCACAGUACUUUAUGUAUGACCUUAUACAGAGAAAAUGCUGGUGUGUCCAAUAUGUAAAAUGUGUAAUAUAUAAUGAUAGGAUUAUUUGACACUGCCAUUCUGAGAACACUGCCUGUUUAAAUAUGUGCUUCUUAUCGCAAAUUUUUAUUUUUUUAAAAAAUGACCUUAUUUUAUAUGUAUUCUUACCUUCUGUGCUGUUUGUCAUUCUUCCAGUAAAGGGUUGAAAUAUACUGGAAACUAGACCAGCGGUUUUCAAACGGGGGAGGGGGCGCAGAAGUGUGUAGGUUUUUUU